This 443-nucleotide ribosomal RNA is filed under the name uncultured bacterium. Its description in RNAcentral is "partial 16S ribosomal RNA". It matches the Rfam family "Bacterial small subunit ribosomal RNA", at positions 338 to 795 of the family's 1533-position model. The record is from RNAcentral.
CCUACGGGAGGCAGCAGUGGGGAAUAUUGGGCAAUGGGCGCAAGCCUGACCCAGCAACGCCGCGUGAAGGAAGAAGGCUUUCGGUUUGUAAACUUCUUUUCUCAGGGACGAAGAAAGUGACGGUACCUGCGGAAUAAGCCACGGCUAACUCCGCGCCAGCAGCCGCGGUACUACGUAGGUGGCAAGCGUUAUCAGGAUGUAGUGGGUGUAAAGGGCGUUUAGGCGGGGGCGCAAGGCAGAUGGGAAAAGUCAGGGCUCAACCCUGAGCCUGCAUUUGAAACUGUGGUUCUUGAGUGCUGGAGAGGCAAUCGGAAUUCCGUGUGUAGCGGUGAAAUGCGUAGAUAUACGGAGGAACACCAGUGGCGAAGGCGGAUUGCUGGACAGUAACUGACGCUGAGGCGCGAAAGCGUGGGGAGCAAACAGGAUUAGAUACCCGGGUAGUC